This 491-nucleotide ribosomal RNA is filed under the name Vibrio parahaemolyticus. RNAcentral describes it as "partial 23S ribosomal RNA". It matches the Rfam family "Bacterial large subunit ribosomal RNA", at positions 1243 to 1733 of the family's 2925-position model. Lineage: Bacteria; Pseudomonadati; Pseudomonadota; Gammaproteobacteria; Vibrionales; Vibrionaceae. The record is from RNAcentral.
GUAAGCGGUUGAAGGUGUGUGGUAACGCAUGCUGGACGUAUCAGAAGUGCGAAUGCUGACAUGAGUAACGAUAAAGGGGGUGAAAAACCUCCUCGCCGGAAGACCAAGGGUUCCUGUCCAACGUUAAUCGGGGCAGGGUAAGUCGACCCCUAAGGCGAGGCCGAAAGGCGUAGUCGAUGGGAAACGGGUUAAUAUUCCCGUACUUCUUACAAUUGCGAUGGGGGGACGGAGAAGGCUAGGUGGGCCUGGCGACGGUUGUCCAGGUUCAAGUGCGUAGGCUUAAGAGUUAGGUAAAUCCGGCUCUUUUUAAGGCUGAGACACGACGUCGAGCACCUACGGGUGUGAAGUCAUUGAUGCCAUGCUUCCAGGAAAAGCCUCUAAGCUUCAGAUUGUAAGGAAUCGUACCCCAAACCGACACAGGUGGUCGGGUAGAGAAUACCAAGGCGCUUGAGAGAACUCGGGUGAAGGAACUAGGCAAAAUGGUACCGUAA